Molecule: transfer RNA, 65 nt
Filed under: Dipodomys ordii (Ord's kangaroo rat)
Lineage: Eukaryota; Metazoa; Chordata; Mammalia; Rodentia; Heteromyidae
Rfam family: tRNA
About the family: Transfer RNA (tRNA) molecules are approximately 80 nucleotides in length.
Source: Rfam by way of RNAcentral
GGUGGCUCAGAGGUAGAGUACUUGCCUUGCAUGCAUGAGGCUUUGGGUUCGAUCCCUCAGCACCA